Molecule: long non-coding RNA, 236 nt
Filed under: Nicotiana benthamiana
Lineage: Eukaryota; Viridiplantae; Streptophyta; Magnoliopsida; Solanales; Solanaceae
Description: long non-coding RNA (NBEN_LNC020015)
Source: RNAcentral
UUGGGAUUAAUCGAAAUCGAUCCCCUGCUCCCCAUUCAUCCAGCAUAUGCCUUCAAGAGGCUUCCAACACGUGAGAAAGGAAACAUGGAUGAGAGAAUCUGUUAGAAGUCGUUGGAAAUAGCAAGAGGAGAGAAGGAGGGAAUGCGUGUUUGCGAGAUUGGGUUACACUCGCCUGAAUUUUGGUGAUUUUGGGACGAAUUUGGUGUUUGGAGAAGAGGAACAUGGGUGCGUCAUUU